Molecule: long non-coding RNA, 2803 nt
Organism: Mya arenaria
Lineage: Eukaryota; Metazoa; Mollusca; Bivalvia; Myida; Myidae
Exons: 4
Source: RefSeq, a predicted model, not a curated record
CUUUUUGGAAACCGUAUAUCGAUAAAGUAUAUUAUACAGAUUACGCCGCCUCUAUUUAGCAUGAUCAUUUCACUUUUCGAUCGUCGCCAUUUUGUAAGCGCCCUGCCUAAGAGUGUGUCAUGGACUUCAGCUGGAUUAAAUGUGUAUUACCCGGGAGGAACUGUAAAGAACCAGCCAGACAGCCCGCCCGCCGAGCUGCCCACCCGGCCGAGCUGUACUUUGUGUAUGUCAACAUGCCGACAUGCUGUAAUUUGUUAGAACUUCAAGAUCAUAUUAUGGAAAAUUGUAUCCAAACUGAAGUAUAAUUUGAAUCAUGAUGUGCCAAUAAGCUCCAGUUAGCUGUGCCUUUUUUCCUCCCACCGGUAGUCCUUCAAUCUGAAUCCAGGAGAUGCAGCUCUGAAUCCAAUAUUUCAGGAGAAUGAAUAUAAAACUGAAGCCUUCAGGAAGUCAGUGCCACCAUGAUAUUGAUUUAUUCAGCUCUGAUGUACUCAGCUGCGAUGUAACAUGCCUUCAAGCCACUAUCCGAAGAACAUUCAGACGUUCUAAAUGGACCAUUGCUCUGUUGCCAUGGAAAUCAUUAUGAGGAGGAGCACACAAACUGUCACUUGUUUUGGAUAUCAGAUGUACCACGAACUGACCAUAAACUUUUCAGAUGCUCUGUUUAUUUCAUCAGCCAAUUUCGAUGUAAAUUUUACUGAAUAAUGACAAACAGUCUUACUCAUAAGCAUCUCUUACUCAUUCGUAUUCCACAACUAAACAUGCUUGCAAUUACAUUGUGCCAUCUAUCAUAAUAUAGCAAUGUUGCAAUGUCCACAUUUUUUUGUACCAGUUGUUGCUUUAUACUGAAACUUUUUUGAAAAUGGUGCAUAAACACUGACAACACAUCAAUGUUUCGUUCAUACAUUUGUACAUGUUCUUUCAGUGUUGAUAAUGUUGACAUAUUUCAUGUAUAUUUACACAUGUGUUUAUUGCCAACCUCAUGAAAACAUGCAUAGUUUGCUCACAUACAUAUUUCCAAAACAGACAUUUACUGAAUGUAUUACUACUUUACGUUGAUUUUGAUAUGUAAAUACAACAUUGUACUACUUGUUUGUACAAAACACUUUUCAUUUGCUAUGUUGUUUGUUUCCAUGUUCUGUCUGCAUACAGAUGGUAUUAUCAUAUCAAUUUUUAGCUCGACUAUUCGUAGAAUAUGGAAAGCUAUACUACUCACCCAAGUGUCGGCGUCACACCUUGGUUAAGGAUUUGCGUGCAAGCACACAUAGGUUAAUAUCUCCGUUACUUCUUGAGGUAUCGCAUUGAGACUUGAUACAACGGUACUCAACCAUCCAACCUACUUAUUUAACCAAGUUAGAUAACUCUACUUUGCAUUUAAUGCAAAUUAUAGGCUUUUAUUAUUUGACUAAAAAAUUCUGGUUAAGGUUUUGCAUGCAAGCGCACAUAGGUAAAUAUCUCAUUAAGUGCUUGAGGUAUUGCAUUGAGACUUGAAACAAUGUUACUCAACCAUCCAACCUACAUAAUAAACCAAGUAAGAUAACUCUACUUUGCAUUUAAUGCAAAUUAUAGGCUUUUAUUAUUUGACUUAGAAAUUCUGGUUAAGGUUUUGCGUGCAAGCACACAUAGGGAAAUAUCUCAUUAAGUACUUGAGGUAUUGCAUUGAGACUUGAUACAAUGGUACUCAACAAUCCAAUCUACUGAAUUAACAAAGUUAGAUAACUGUAGUUUGCAUUUAAUCCAAAUAAUAGGACUUUAUUAUUCGACUUAGAAAUUCAGGUUAAAGUUUUGUGUGCAAGCACACAUAGGUUAAUAUCUCAGCAGCUACUUGAGGUAUUGCAUUGAGACAUGUUACAAGGUACUCAACCAUCUAAUUAAUUAACCAAAUAAGAUAACUUGACUUUGCAUUUAAUGCAAAUGAUAGGCCUUUAUUAUUCGACUUAGAUAUUUUGAUUAAGGUUUUGUGUGCAAGCACACAUUAUAUAAAUAUCAAAGCAACUACUUGAUGUAUUGCAUUGAGACUCAUAUAAUUGUACUCAAUCAUCAAACUCCCCCAUGUAAGAUAGCUCUAGUUUCAUUAAAUGCAAAUAGUUGCCCUUAUUAUUCGACACAGAAAUUCUAGUUAAGGUUUUGCGUGUAAGCACACAUAGGUAAAUUUCUCAGCAACUACUCGAUGUAUUGCAUUGAGACUUUAUAGAAUUUAAUCAAGUAAGUUUAUAUCUGGUUACAAUUCAUACAUACUACAUAAGUAAUAUUCUCGAUGACAUUUUAUUACCCAACUUGUAUGUCUACAGGUUAUGUUCUAUUUUUAUAUCUCUAUGUUAUAUGCGUUUACUAACACAUUCAUUGUGUAUGUCAUCUGCAACAGUGCAAAUCCUUCUUCGCCUUUGAUAUCUGCAAUACUAUAUCUAUAAUAUGCGUUUAAGUCUGCGCCCGUAACCAGACUGCUGUAAAUAUGCCUUUUCGACUGGUGUUUCGAGUUAUUUUUCAAUCCUAGUUUGACUACUGUUAUCAGUUUUAAAAUAAAUCGAACAGUGCUGAUUAUAUCCUUGUACAACAUUGCUUGCCAUUUAUUGAUGAAAAAUAUAGGAAACCAAUAGCGAGAAAUGUCUAUAAUACUUCCGACCAUCGUGAAUUAAAACUCUGCUAGCAAUCAAGCGAUCUCCGUCGGAUUGUUUCAAUCGAACACAUCCAUGAUAUUUGAUAAACUCAACGCUCACAUUUUUGUUGUUGUAUUUUAUACCUGUUCUUAUAAUACUGAUACUGCAUAUUUCUUAGCUCUUACUUGAAGAUAAAAAAUAUCAAUUUA